Molecule: long non-coding RNA, 4029 nt
Organism: Oncorhynchus mykiss (rainbow trout)
Lineage: Eukaryota; Metazoa; Chordata; Actinopteri; Salmoniformes; Salmonidae
Source: Ensembl
UUAUUACAUGUCUUAGUCAGACCACGCCCCAGUUCACCUUCACCUGUUUUUGGAGUCUGCACGGCUUCUGUCGGAACAGGAUGAGAUGCAGGAGAAACGGAGGGAUCAGGAGACUGAGGUGUGAAGGAAGCCUGGAGCGACUUCACCCUCUUCUUCAUUCUCUCAGAGACUCUGGCCACGAUUGUGACGGCAUUCUAAUUUCUACAUCCAGAUCCUUUUCUUCACGCUGUGGUGCGUCUCUCCUCCACCUGCAGCAGCUGUUCAAUCAGCAGCUUCACUGGAGUGCAUAGGUAGAGGUCAAAGCUCAAAACUCAAAACUAACGUUCUUUACAAUCUCCUACACCACGGAAACACACGUGCACACACACACGUGCACACACACACACACAUGAAUUAAAGUCCUGUGUAGGUCUAUAAAUGCCAGUGGGGUGUAGGGACACCUAUCACCUGUUUAUGAUGAAAGUAGUGAAUGUGAUUGUGUGUGCACUGAGACUUCAUUGCAGCUGGACCACAGAGAGUUGCAGGACUGCACCUACCAGUUAAGAUAAGCAUAUGCUGCAGAAUGAAUGCCCUUUACACGCACAUGCACGCAAACACACACACACGCAGGUCUCAUUAGCCUGUGUAAUUAUGCAUGGCACGUCCAGUUGGCCAGUGGAGAAGUAAUUAACCUUUUCCAGCAGGAAACAGCAAUCUGGGCGUCUGACACACUCACAUGCACGCACACACGUCUGGUGUCACGGAAAUAAAGUGUCAAAGACAGCGGCUGGCAUUCAAUGAUAAUCCCCUCACGCAUAUUUCCAUCCAAGGCUUAAAACACUAAUAAUGCCAAAUUACCUCUCCUCUCCCUUUAUCUUCCCUCCUUUCUCUUUCUCCCUCUUCUUGUCCCCAAGUCCUUCUCUGUCUUUCUCCCUCCCUCCCUCCCUCCCUCCCUCCCUCCCUCCCUCCCUCCCUCCCUCCCUCCCUCCCUGUCUGUCUGUCUGGCUACCAAACCUCUUUCUUUCUCUCUCAUCUCCCAUCUGUCUGUCUCUCUCUCUCUCUCUCUCUCAUCUGUCUGUCUCUCUCUCUCUCUCGUUUGUCUGUCUGUCUGUCUGUCUGUCUGUCUCUGGCUACGAAACCUCUUUUCUCCACCACUCUCCCUGUCUCCCUCUCCUUUCUCCCCUCUCUCAAUCAAUUUGCCCACAUCCCUCUCUCUCCUGCUCUUUAUCUCACAGUAAAACACAUGUUCUCUGGGCAGUGAGCAUGUGAGCAUGGCCUUACAGUAUUUCUAUCACAGCAUAUUGGAUGACUGUCAUUCAUAUUCCAUUAGCCCAGCUUAAUGUAUACAACAUCGAUAGGUUUAAGCUACAACAUGAUACUCGAAUUUGCCCUAUACCCAUCGUAAGGUUGUUAGUUGAUCUGAUCACAGUUCACUUACAUACCAGCUACAUACAGCUUCAGCCUUGUUCUAAAAUAGAUUCAAUGAUUGUUUUCCCUCUUCAAUCUACACACAAUACCCCAUAAUGACAAAGCGAAAACAGGUUUUUAGAAAUUUGUGCAAAUGUAUAAAAAAAACAAAAACAACAAUACCUUAUUUACAUAAGUUUUCAGACCCUUUGCUUUGAGACUCGAAAUUGUGCUCAGGUGCAUCCUGUUUCCUUUGAUUAUCCUUGAGAUGUUUCUACAGUACAACUUGAUUGGAGUCCACCUGUGGUCAAUUCCAUUGAUUGGACACUUGACAAUGCAUGUCAGAGCUAAUACCAAGCAAUGGGGUCAAAGGAUUUGUCCGUAGAGACAAAAGACAGGAUUUUGUCGAGCCACAGAUCUAUGGAAGGGUACUGCAGCAUUGAAGGUCCCCAAAAACACAGUGGCCUCCAUCAUUCUUAAAUGGAAGAAGUUUGGUACCACCAACACUCUUCCUAGAGCUGGUCAACCGGGCAAACUGAGCAAUCGGGGGGAGAAGGACCUUGGUCCGGGAUGUGACCAAGAACCUGAUGGUCACUCUGUCUGAGCUACAGAGUUCCUCUGUGGAGAUGGGAGAACCUUCCAGAAGGACAACCAUCUCUGCAGCACUCCACCAAUCAAGCCUUUGGUAGAGUGGCCAGACGGAAGCCACUACUCAGUAAAAGACACAUGAUGGCCUGCUUGGAGCUUGCCAAAAGGCAGCUAAGGACUCUCAGACCAUGAGAAACAAGAUUAUCUUGUCUGAUGAAACCAAGAUUGAACUAUUUGGCCUGAAUACCAAGUCACAUCUGAAGGAAACAUGGCACCAUCCCUACGGUGAAGCAUGGUGGUGGCAGCAUCAUGCUGUGGGGAUGUUUUUCAGCGGCAGGGACUGGGAGACUAGUCAUGAUCAAGGAAAAUUGAAUGGAGCAAAGUACAGAGAGAUCCUUGAUGAAAACCUGCUCCAUAGCACUCAAUACCUCAGACUGGGGGCGAACGCUCACCUUCCAAUAGGACAACGACCUUAAGCACACAGCCAAGACAACGCAGGAGUUGCUUCGGCACCAGUCUCUGAAUGUCCAUGAGUGUCCCAGCCAGAGCCCGGACUUGAACCCAAUCAAACAUCUCUGGAAAGACCUGAAAAUAGCUGUGUAUCGGCGUUCCCCAUCCAACCGGACAGAGCUUGAAAUGAUCUGCAUUGAAGAAUGGGAGAAACUCCCCAAAUACAAGUGUGCCAAGCGUCAUACCCAAGAAGACUUGAGGCAGUAAUCACUGCCAAACGUGCUUCAACAAAGUACUGAGUAAAGGGUCUGAAUACUUAUGUAAAUGUAAUAUUUCCAUUUUAUUUCCAUUUUUCUAAAAACCUGUUUUUGCUUUGUUAUUAUAGGGUUAUGUGUGUAGAUUUAUGAGCGAGAAAACUAUUUAAUACAUUUUAGAAUAAGGCUGAAAUGUAACAAAAUAUGGAAAAAGUCAAGGGGUCUGAAUACUUUCUGAAUGCACUGUUCGUACAUAUCCCAACCAGAAGCCAUGGAUUACAGGCAACAUCCGCACUGACCUAUAGGCUAGAGCUGCCUGUUUCAAGGAGCGGUACACUAAUCCGGAAGCUUCUAAGAAAUCCUGCUACGAACUCAGAUGAGCCAUCAAACAUGCAAAGUGUUACAGGACUAAGAUCAAAUACUACUACGCCGGCUCUGAUGCUCGUUGGAUGUGGCAGGGUUUGAAAGCUAUAACGGAUUACAAAGGGAAACCCAGCUGCAAGCUGCCCAGUGACGCGAGCCUACCAGACGAGCUAAAUGCCUUCUACGCUUGCUUCGAGGCAAUCAACACUGAACCAUGCAUGAGAGCAUCAGCUGUUCCAGACGACUGUGUGAUCUCGCUUUCCGUAGCCAAUGUGAGUAAGACCUUAAAUUAGGUUAACAUGGUCGCAGGGGCCAGAAGGAUUACCAGGACAGGUACUCAAAGCAUGCACUGAUUAACCUUUCCCUGACCCUGUUUGUAAUACUUACAUGUUUCAAGCAGACCACCAUAUUCCCUGUGCGCCAAGGUAACCUGUCUAAAUUACUAUUGCCCCAUAGCACUCACAUCUGUAGUCACGGAAUGCUUUGAAAGGCGGGUCAUGGCUCAUAUCUACACCUCAUUCCAGACACCCUGGACCCACUCCAAUUUGUAUACCGCUCCAACAGAUCCACAGAUUACGCACCCUCUAUUGCACUCCACACUGCCCUCUCCCACCUGGAUAAGAGGAACAGCUAUGUGAAAAUGUUGUUCAUUGACUCCAGCUCAACGUCCAACACCAUAGUGCCCUCCAAGCUCAUCAAUAAGCCCAGGACCCUGGGACUGAACACCAGUCUGCUCCGUAAGUUCUCUGAUGACACAAUGGUGGUAGGCCUGAUCUCCAACAACAAUGAGACAGCCUAUAGGGAGGAGGUCAGUAACCUGGGAAUGUGGUGCCAGCACAGCAACCUCUCCCUCAACUUCAGCAAGACAAAGGAGCAUGAUCGUGGACUCCAGAAAAUGUGAGCUGAGCAUGCUGAGCACACCCCCCUCCUCAUUAAUGGGUCUGUAGUGGAGUGGGUCAAGAGCUUUAAGUUCUUCUGUGUCUACAUC